GAGUCUGACGGAGCACGCCGCGUGAGUGAUGAAGGUUUUCGGAUCGUAAAACUCUGUUGUUAGGGAAGAACAAGUGCGAGAGUAACUGCUCGCACCUUGACGGUACCUAACCAGAAAGCCACGGCUAACUACGUGCCAGCAGCCGCGGUAAUACGUAGGUGGCAAGCGUUGUCCGGAAUUAUUGGGCGUAAAGCGCGCGCAGGCGGUUUCUUAAGUCUGAUGUGAAAGCCCCCGGCUCAACCGGGGAGGGUCAUUGGAAACUGGGAAACUUGAGUGCAGAAGAGGAGAGUGGAAUUCCACGUGUAGCGGUGAAAUGCGUAGAGAUGUGGAGGAACACCAGUGGCGAAGGCGACUCUCUGGUCUGUAACUGACGCUGAGGCGCGAAAGCGUGGGGAGCGAACAGGAUUAGAUACCCUGGUAGUCCACGCCGUAAACGAUGAGUGCUAAGUGUUAGAGGGUUUCCGCCCUUUAGUGCUGCAGCUAACGCAUUAAGCACUCCGCCUGGGGAGUACGGUCGCAAGACUGAAACUCA
Molecule: ribosomal RNA, 532 nt
Filed under: Bacillus sp. (in: firmicutes)
Lineage: Bacteria; Bacillati; Bacillota; Bacilli; Caryophanales; Bacillaceae
Description: bacterial SSU rRNA
Rfam family: Bacterial small subunit ribosomal RNA
Source: RNAcentral